GUCUAUUAGGUAUGUCUAUUAGGUAUUUAUUUAUAGUCUGACCUGCUCACUGAUAAAUUAUUAAAGAGCCGCAGUAUUAUGACUGUGCAAAGGUAGCAUAAUCAUUAGUUUUUUAAUUAAAAGCUUGUAUGAAUGGUUGGACAAGAAAAAUUCUGUCUUUAUAAUAAAUGUUGAAUUUAACUUUUAAGUGAAAAGGCUUAAAUUUUUCAAAGGGACGAUAAGACCCUAAAAGCUUUAUAAAUUAUUAAAAUUUAAUUGAAUUAAUUUAUAAUUAUUUAAUUUUAAUAUUUUAUUUUGUUGGGGCGACAUAGGUAUAAAUAAAAUAACUGCUUAAGUUUAAAACAUUUAUAGUUGAAAUAUUAAUUGAUCCUUAUUAAAGAUUUAAGUUUAAGUUACUUUAGGGAUAACAGCGUUAUUUUUUUUGAGAGUUCAUAUCGAAAAAAGAGUUUGCGACCUCGAUGUUGAAUUAAAUGUCUUCUUAAUGCAGCUGUUAAGAGAAGAGGGUCUGUUCGACCUUUAAAUUUUUACAUGAUUUGAGUUCAGACCGGUGUAAGCCAGG
This 559-nucleotide ribosomal RNA is filed under the name Derilambrus angulifrons. Its description in RNAcentral is "partial 16S ribosomal RNA". It matches the Rfam family "Bacterial large subunit ribosomal RNA", at positions 1817 to 2630 of the family's 2925-position model. Lineage: Eukaryota; Metazoa; Arthropoda; Malacostraca; Decapoda; Parthenopidae. The record is from RNAcentral.